CUCAUAUAUAUAUAGCUCCACAUCUCUCUCUCUCCCCUCCCUUACUCUCUUUCCACGAACACCACAGCCACUGCCUCUCUCUCCUCGGCUCACUCUCGCCCCGCGCUUCUUCGAUUUCAUGAAGGAGGAGAGCGACGAUGACAAGAACAAGGCCGAGCUCAGGUUCCACUCCGCUCUUGCUUACGCCCCUCCGCCUUCUUCGAUGCAAGAGUAUUUCCCAAUCUCUGGAGCCCUUUUUCGCUUGUCUAGGGUUAGGAUUUUGAAGAUUGGAGUAGAUUUAGGGGAAUCGUUUUGAAACCCCCAAUUAAUCUUUCAGAUCUGGGUCAACAUGUUUUGGCCUUUUGGGAUAUACAGAUUUGAUUCGGGUUUGGGUUCAAUUAAGGAGUUGGCCGGCUUAAGUUCCUCCUUAGUUCGGCACCUGGUUGUGGCUUCACCGGAGGAAGCCCGAAUGUUGUCUUUGUCGGAUAACAGACUUGCAAAAGGUUCAGAAUACCCUCAGGUGGAGCUUGGGUCCUAUAAAAAAUGGUGGCCUUGUUGUUGGGAUUGAUCUCAAGAACAAAAGGUGAAGGCUCUAGCUAUGCAUUGCAAAAUCUAGGGUUUCUGAAAUUCAAUCUGCGAAUUUUGACUAUUGCUAAGGUCACUGUCAGGUCUGACUCCACCUUUUCCAGAAGGAUUUAGAUUGGAUGAAGGAGAAGAUCGAUUACUAUCUUGGUUGGUUGUUGCUGUUUGUUUGGUUAUUGGUUUUCAACUGGCAGUUUAUCAAAGGCUUGGGAUGUGAUGUGUCAAGGCCCAUAUUUCAUGUACCUCAUCUCAAUGGAAUUUAUGUUUCGGAAAGAUGGUUCAUAAGGUUGAUGGAGGGAAACAAGCAAUUUGUCACAAGAGACCCAGAAAAGGCUCGCUUAUUUUAUCUUCCUCAUAGCAUGCGCCAAUUGGAGUUGAAGCUUUAUGUGCCUGGUUUACAUCAAAUUAAACCACUGGCAAUAUUCCUCAGAGACUAUAUGAACAUGAUUGCUGGAAGUAUCCUUUCUGGAAUCACACACAUGGGACAAAUCAUUUUGUUGCUAGCCAUGACUGAAGGCUGACUGGAAAUUACUGGUUACACACAUGGAAGGAAAGGUAGAGGAAAAGUGCGGUUAUCACUAUGUUUUUGGCCUACCUUUGAUUCCAGAAGUUGUAAUGUUUUUGGUCUUUAUGUUUAGUAUAUAUUGUAGACCUUGUUGGAAUCAAUGGAAACCUUUUGGUAUCAAUA
Rosa rugosa (rugosa rose) is the source of this 1249-nucleotide long non-coding RNA. RefSeq lists it as uncharacterized. The transcript has 6 exons. The record is from RefSeq and is a predicted model, not a curated record. NCBI's taxonomy places the organism in Eukaryota, Viridiplantae, Streptophyta, Magnoliopsida, Rosales, Rosaceae.